Molecule: ribosomal RNA, 484 nt
Filed under: uncultured bacterium
Lineage: Bacteria
Description: partial 16S ribosomal RNA
Rfam family: Bacterial small subunit ribosomal RNA
Source: RNAcentral
AUUGAACGCUGGCGGCAGGCCUAACACUUGCAAGUCGAGCGGAUGAAGGGAGCUUGCUCCUGGAUUCAGCGGCGGACGGGUGAGUAAUGCCUAGGAAUCUGCCUGGUAGUGGGGGAUAACGUCCGGAAACGGGCGCUAAUACCGCAUACGUCCUGAGGGAGAAAGUGGGGGAUCUUCGGACCUCACGCUAUCAGAUGAGCCUAGGUCGGAUUAGCUAGUUGGUGGGGUAAAGGCCUACCAAGGCGACGAUCCGUAACUGGUCUGAGAGGAUGAUCAGUCACACUGGAACUGAGACACGGUCCAGACUCCUACGGGAGGCAGCAGUGGGGAAUAUUGGACAAAGGGCGAAAGCCUGAUCCAGCCAUGCCGCGUGUGUGAAGAAGGUCUUCGGAUUGUAAAGCACUUUAAGUUGGGAGGAAGGGCAGUAAGUUAAUACCUUGCUGUUUUGACGUUACCAACAGAAUAAGCACCGGCUAACUUCGUG